CUUGUAUCAACUGCAGUAUUUUACACCUAGCGUCCUUUGCCGCUUGUCUCUUACUCUUUCGUUGUCCGCUUUCGUCCGUUUCUUUUGGCUUCGUCUCCUUUGGCUUCGGUUCUUCAAUCUCUGUUUCCUUGAGUUCGAGAGAGCAAACAAGAGAAAGUGGUCUUUCAAUCGUAUGUCCCUUCGUCAAGAUCUUUACUCCUCGCACAACGUUGUCCUUGCCCUUGAUUAGCUCAACAACUUUUCCCCGUUUCCAUUCAGCUCGAUUCUUUUCCUCACCGACCACCAACAUCAUUUCUCCCACUUCUGGACACGCAUUUUCCCC
Paramuricea clavata is the source of this 322-nucleotide non-coding RNA. The record is from the annotation of a GenBank genome assembly. NCBI's taxonomy places the organism in Eukaryota, Metazoa, Cnidaria, Anthozoa, Malacalcyonacea, Plexauridae.